Molecule: transfer RNA, 76 nt
Filed under: Candidatus Pacearchaeota archaeon CG10_big_fil_rev_8_21_14_0_10_32_42
Lineage: Archaea; Nanobdellati
Description: tRNA-Arg
Rfam family: tRNA
About the family: Transfer RNA (tRNA) molecules are approximately 80 nucleotides in length. Their secondary structure includes four short double-helical elements and three loops (D, anti-codon, and T loops).
Source: RNAcentral
GCCUGGGUAACUCAGCCUGGAUUAGAGUGCCACCCUCCUAAGGUGGAAGUCGCAGGUUCAAAUCCUGUCCCGGGCG